Molecule: long non-coding RNA, 708 nt
Filed under: Triticum aestivum (bread wheat)
Lineage: Eukaryota; Viridiplantae; Streptophyta; Magnoliopsida; Poales; Poaceae
Description: long non-coding RNA (TAES_LNC016084)
Source: RNAcentral
UUUUUCUCAAUAUAAUGGAAAGCAACAACACACAAGUUAUAUGUUUGAGGAUGGGUAAACUAUUUUCAGAAAUGGACAUGUAUGUGAGCUUGUUAAAUCAACAUAUAGGUAAUUAGGCAUACAUGCUUAUAGGCCGUAUUCUUGGCAGAUGAAGAUUCCUUUUCAUCAGAAGAAAAAUGAAAAAAGCAUCAACUAUCCUACUUGUGUUCCUGAUUGUUUGGUCUCGUUGAGUGAAACAAAUCUCAAGGACAUUUCUACAUAGCACUGAAUCUUGAUAGAUACAGACAUGCACAGCAACAAACUUUAAUUUGGUUCUUGUCUUCCUCUUGCCAUCCUGCUGAUCAACUACCUUUUGGUUCUUCCAUGCUCUGUCAAUGUAUAAGAUAAUAAUUUCAGUACAGGCAUAUCUAGCAGAAUAAAUGGUUCGAGUUUCAAUCUAGAUUUGCAAACAGGGAAGGGGGAACGAGGCGGGGGCGACCACCGCACCCGGCACCAUUGGCGGCAAGGCUCCCAGGGGAAAGUGGUGCGGGUGCGUCGUGCUGUCAGGUGGUGGCGAGAAUGGCAUGACCAGCGGCUGGAUUUUGGGUGCGUUGGAGGAGAUAAGGAGUGAAACAGGGAAGCGGGGAAGGAGACGCCUGUUGCAUUAAGAUUCGGACGGACAAUUGGCGAGUGCUGGAGUGGGUCUCACGAUCGGGUCCGUACGACUCA